Molecule: ribosomal RNA, 437 nt
Filed under: uncultured Oscillospiraceae bacterium
Lineage: Bacteria; Bacillati; Bacillota; Clostridia; Eubacteriales; Oscillospiraceae
Description: partial 16S ribosomal RNA
Rfam family: Bacterial small subunit ribosomal RNA
Source: RNAcentral
ACGGAAGGCAGCAGUGGGGAAUAUUGGGCAAUGGGCGAAAGCCUGACCCAGCAACGCCGCGUGAAGGAAGAAGGUCUUCGGAUUGUAAACUUCUUUUAUGAGGGACGAAGGACGUGACGGUACCUCAUGAAUAAGCCACGGCUAACUACGUGCCAGCAGCCGCGGUAAUACGUAGGUGGCAAGCGUUAUCCGGAUUUACUGGGUGUAAAGGGCGCGUAGGCGGGGAUGCAAGUCAGAUGUGAAAUCUAUGGGCUUAACUCAUAAACUGCAUUUGAAACUGUAUUUCUUGAGUGCUGGAGAGGUAGAUGGAAUUCCUUGUGUAGCGGUGAAAUGCGUAGAUAUAAGGAAGAACACCAGUGGCGAAGGCGAUCUACUUGACAGUAACUGACGCUGAGGCGCGAAAGCGUGGGGAGCAAACAGGAUUAGAUACCCUGGUA